CCUACGGGAGGCUGCAGUGGGGAAUAUUGGGCAAUGGGCGAAAGCCUGAUCCAGCAAUGCCGCGUGAAUGAAGAAGUUCUUAGGAUUGUAAAAUUCUGUCCUAUGGGAAGAAAAAAAUGAUGGUACCCUAGGAGGAAGCCCCUGCUAACUACGUGCCAGCAGCCGCGGUAAUACGUAGGGGGCGAGCGUUAUCCGGAUGUACUGGGUGUAAAGGCGGCGCAGACGGCAAUGCAAGCCAGAAGUGAAAGCCCGGGGCCCAACCCCGGGACUGCUCUUGGAACUGCAUGGCUGGAGUGCAGGAGGGGCAGGCGGAAUUCCGAGUGUAGCGGUGAAAUGCGUAGAUAUUAGGAGGAACACCGGUGGCGAAGGCGGCCUGCUGGACUGUGACUGACGUUGAGGCCCGAAGGCGUGGGGAGCAAACAGGAUGAGAUACCCUAGUAGUC
RNAcentral lists this ribosomal RNA (443 nucleotides) under uncultured bacterium. Its description in RNAcentral is "partial 16S ribosomal RNA". It matches the Rfam family "Bacterial small subunit ribosomal RNA", at positions 338 to 795 of the family's 1533-position model. The record is from RNAcentral.